RNAcentral lists this ribosomal RNA (468 nucleotides) under uncultured bacterium. RNAcentral's name for it is "partial 16S ribosomal RNA". It matches the Rfam family "Bacterial small subunit ribosomal RNA", at positions 28 to 507 of the family's 1533-position model. The record is from RNAcentral.
GACGAACGCUGGCGGCGUGCUUAACACAUGCAAGUCGAACGGAAAGGCCCUGCUUUUGUGGGGUGCUCGAGUGGCGAACGGGUGAGUAACACGUGAGUAACCUGCCCUUGACUUUGGGAUAACUUCAGGAAACUGGGGCUAAUACCGGAUAGGAGCUCCUGCUGCAUGGUGGGGGUUGGAAAGUUUCGGCGGUUGGGGAUGGACUCGCGGCUUAUCAGCUUGUUGGUGGGGUAGUGGCUUACCAAGGCUUUGACGGGUAGCCGGCCUGAGAGGGUGACCGGCCACAUUGGGACUGAGAUACGGCCCAGACUCCUACGGGAGGCAGCAGUGUGGAAUAUUGCACAAUGGGCGGAAGCCUGAUGCAGCAACGCCGCGUGCGGGAUGACGGCCUUCGGGUUGUAAACCGCAUUCGCCUGUGACGAAGCGUGAGUGACGGUAAUGGGUAAAGAAGCACCGGCUAACUACGUG